Molecule: ribosomal RNA, 396 nt
Filed under: uncultured bacterium
Lineage: Bacteria
Description: partial 16S ribosomal RNA
Rfam family: Bacterial small subunit ribosomal RNA
Source: RNAcentral
AUACGUAGGGAGCGAGCGUUGUCCGGAAUUACUGGGUGUAAAGGGUGCGUAGGCGGGACUGCAAGUCAGAUGUGAAAUGCCGGGGCUCAACCCCGGAGCUGCAUUUGAAACUGUGGUUCUUGAGUGAGGUAGAGGUAAGCGGAAUUCCUAGUGUAGCGGUGAAAUGCGUAGAUAUUAGGAGGAACAUCGGUGGCGAAGGCGGCUUACUGGGCCUUUACUGACGCUGAGGCACGAAAGCGUGGGGAGCAAACAGGAUUAGAUACCCUGGUAGUCCACACUGUAAACGAUGAUUGCUAGGUGUGGGGGGUCUGACCCCUUCCGUGCCGCAGUUAACGCAAUAAGCAAUCCACCUGGGGAGUACGGCCGCAAGGCUAAAACUCAAAGGAAUUGACGGGG